AAAGAUUCUGAAUGUGCUCAAGUGCUGCCCAGUGAAGUAUACUGAGAGAUUCUGCAGAUUAUUGUCUUUUGAGACAUGUUUUCCAAACAAUUAUUUUUAUUGGCUUCAAACAUAGGUUGUAUUGAAUAUUCUGAUUUAAUUUUUUCAUCUCAAUAAUUUGCCAAUUUUUCUUUUUUUCACCUUACUGCUGAAUGAGUGUUUGUCAGCAUAAUUGUCCAGUGACUGAAUUGAUCAUUGUAGCUUUUCUGUGACCAAUCACUCUUAUAUUAUUGAAAUAAUUUUAUGCCUAUAUUUUCCUACUGUAUUGUCAUUGAAGAUGCAUUAGCUGGAGUUCAAGCUGCCAAAGCUGGUCAAAUGAAAUUUAUAGCCGUGACAACUACAUUGUCUGCAGAAACUUUAAAGGCUGCCAGUCCAUCACUUACCCGGAAUGAGAUAGGAAGUGUUUCACUGCAUGAUAUUCUUAGGGGUGGCUCAGAUGGCUAUAGUAUGUAGUCCUGAGAGUAUGAUGCAAAUGUCAAUUUGUACCAUUAUUAAUGUAGAAUGCUGAAGCUACAGUUGUUUCAUGUUUUAAGAACUAUAAGUAAGAUCAAUUUUCUUGUAA
This is a long non-coding RNA of Carya illinoinensis, 601 nucleotides long. RefSeq lists it as uncharacterized. NCBI's taxonomy places the organism in Eukaryota, Viridiplantae, Streptophyta, Magnoliopsida, Fagales, Juglandaceae. The transcript has 2 exons. The record is from RefSeq and is a predicted model, not a curated record.